AUUGAACGCUGGCGGCAUGCCUUACACAUGCAAGUCGAACGGCAGCGGGGACUUCGGUCCGCCGGCGAGUGGCGAACGGGUGAGUAAUGUAUCGGAACGUACCAUUGAGUGGGGGAUAACGUAGCGAAAGUUACGCUAAUACCGCAUAUUCUCUCCGGAGGAAAGCAGGGGACCGCAAGGCCUUGCGCUCUUUGAGCGGCCGAUAUCAGAUUAGCUAGUUGGUGAGGUAAAGGCUCACCAAGGCGACGAUCUGUAGCGGGUCUGAGAGGAGGAUCCGCCACACUGGAACUGAGACAAGGUCCAGACUCCUACGGGAGGCAGCAGUGGGGAAUUUUGGACAAUGGGGGCAACCCUGAUCCAGCCAUGCCGCGUGAGUGAAGAAGGCCUUCGGGUUGUAAAGCUCUUUCGGCCGGGAAAAAAUCGCAUGGGCUAAUACCCUGUGUGGAUGAUGGUACCGGAAUAAGAAGCACCGGCUAACUACGUGCCAGCCGCCGCCGUAA
This 500-nucleotide ribosomal RNA is filed under the name uncultured bacterium. RNAcentral describes it as "partial 16S ribosomal RNA". It matches the Rfam family "Bacterial small subunit ribosomal RNA", at positions 30 to 523 of the family's 1533-position model. The record is from RNAcentral.